Molecule: long non-coding RNA, 872 nt
Organism: Sinocyclocheilus grahami
Lineage: Eukaryota; Metazoa; Chordata; Actinopteri; Cypriniformes; Cyprinidae
Exons: 3
Source: RefSeq, a predicted model, not a curated record
AGUGUUCAUAAUUUUUUUGUUAGCAUACUCAAAUACCCAGUUUCUGGAAUGGUUCAAGAUGUUCAAGAUGACUCUUAAGUAUGACAAUUUAACAAGGUUAGGUUGAACAUAAUGUCUUUUAAUUCUGUAAAAGUAAAGACUCACUUCAGCAGGAAUCAAACAUCCUGUCUCUGUGUGUGUGUCUCUUCAGAGUCAUAUACUGUAUAACAAUGUCCUCAUAGGUAUGUCUCCACGCUAAUGUCCACAUUAAUCAGCAGUGCCUCCGUUAUAUUGUGUAUAUACAAAACCUCACAAGAAAGGUAGGGCAGAAACUGUUAAUGGAUGACAUAUGUAUAAAAAAAGAUAUUGCAUGAUUUUCUGGCCCUUUGAGUGCAUGAGUCAUGGCCGUAUGCUUUCAAAUCAACCCUCACUGAGGAUAAAUCUGACCUCUAUGACCAUACAUUUCCAAAAGAAAAAGAAACAAUCAUGUGCAAUGAUAUAGCUUCCUGAAUAAGCCAGUUGAAUAUGCUAUAGGUAGCAUGUAAAGACAUGAACUUAAACUCUAAGCCAUUAACAGUCUUCUCCAACAACCACUUGUUUCAAGACACUCUAACAAUUAUAAAACACAUAAUAGUUUGUGUGAGAUGGCGAAAAUGUGCCCUCACAGAAAAAAAAGGUAUUGGGGUGGUAUACACCUUUGUACCUUACUUACCCCUAAAGAGUGCAUAGUAGUACCUUAUAAGAGCAUAUUAAUACUUAGUGGUACAUAUUAAUUUUGAAAGAGUACCACCCCAGUGACAACUUUUGUACCUUUUUUUCUGAGAGUGUAUGAUGUCCUAUAACUUGGUUUAUAUAGAAUCUUUUAACCUUUAUAGGUGAUUUUGCCUUCUCAU